Molecule: RNA transcript, 1564 nt
Organism: Carya illinoinensis
Lineage: Eukaryota; Viridiplantae; Streptophyta; Magnoliopsida; Fagales; Juglandaceae
Exons: 9
Source: RefSeq, a predicted model, not a curated record
GAGAAGUCCAGUCUCGACGGAUAACGCCCGUCCACUCGCUCUCGUCCCGAGCAUCACCGUUCAGACACUCUCACGCUGCAUUGUUAUCUUUUUCCGAAAUAUAUUUUCCCGUUUGAGUUGGAGAGAAUCUGGUUUGCUCAAUGGAUACCCUUUCACAGAUCAGAUGCUUCACCACCACUUCCAACUUCCCGUUUUCAAGAACAACUCAAAUUCCUCGUUCCAGACUUCCAACAGUCUCUGUCCUACGAACAAGACCCCGUCCAGUCAGUGGAGUUGUAGAAGAGGACGUUUUGCAAACGUUUCUUAAGGAGAGAAAAUUAAGUGGAGAUUUUAUAUCAAAAGCUUCUGAUAUAUUUUGGCAGAGUGAGGCCAAGCAAUUUGUUACUGCUGAUGCUGUUGAACCUUCUGCCACUCCUCGACAGGCAGAGCAGGUCAUUGAAACUGACAAUGAUGGUGGGUUUUUGAAACUGUCAAGUACCCUUGAAUGGGUAUCUGGUGACAACUCUGUACCAGAGAAUAAGAAAGCCAUUGCCAAGGUAUCACGGGAUGACAGUGAAAGGAGAAGGAUACUGAACCUUCUCGAAUAUGAAGCGAUCAAGAGGGAGAUGAUGUUUUUAUCUGUUGGUAUUGGAACCGUGUGCACUGGGUAUUGUAUGAUAGCCUUAUCAGUCCAGGCAGCCAUUAGUUACGCGACAGGAGCUCUUUUCAGUGCAGUUGCUUGUACCUUCAGCUCUUAUACCAACAUGCAGACAACCUAUCCAGAGAAACUAUUCCUGAAGUUUUCCUACGAAAGAAAUCAAAGAAAAUUGGAAUCAGAAGUGAGGACCUUCAGGAUUCGAUAGAGAAGUCAUUUAAGGGUAGUGGCAUUGCUCUUUCAUCUCCGAGGCUUGUGAUCCCAGCUGCAAUAUAUGGAUUGUGGCUCCUGUCUCAUCGGUAUUUUGGCAAUGACUUCUUUGAUUUCCAGCUUGUACCAGCGAUGCUUGGGAUGUUUGUCUAUAAAGCUGCUGCUCUUGUUCAAGUCUAUAGAGAUAAUGAGGACCUGCAAUUUAUCUUUCCAGAAAAUGGAGAUGGCUCACCUAACUGAAAUUCUUAUCUUAUCGAUAUCAAUGCCUUCAUUGGUAACUUUUUGAAAAGAAGAGUUGGAUGCUUAUUGGCUUCCAUAUUUAGUUCUUCCCGUGUGGAACGCACUGCAUAUAUUCAAACGAGGUAAGCACUUCAAGGUGUUCAAUGUGAAAUAACACAAUUUUUGGAGCUGGUUCAGGCAGGGUUGGCCUUUUCAUGUUAAAACUCUGCAAGUUCUGCUGGUAAGGGACUAAAGCCUAUACUUCUCCAGCAAGAACUGCUCAGUAGGGGUAAUUCUUCAAUAGUACAUCUGUUCCAAACCCGGCUGUGGUGCCCAAAAUAUGUCUAUCAUUUUCCCAUAUAUUAGAGUUUGUUGCUGUCAGAAACUGUUGUAGUUGUGUGAUAUUUGAGUAAUUCUCUCAUAUACUCUUUCACAAUGGUGUAAAAUAGCUCUUCUUACAUGCAUCCAAGAAAGAUAAGAAAAUCCUACAUAUUGAUGAAA